Orbicella faveolata is the source of this 498-nucleotide long non-coding RNA. Lineage: Eukaryota; Metazoa; Cnidaria; Anthozoa; Scleractinia; Merulinidae. The record is from RefSeq and is a predicted model, not a curated record.
CGGGACAAGCCGGGAAUUCAGCUUAUUACGGAAGUUCCGUUUGUACCAGAAACUCGAUUCACUCGGCUUCCAGCUCCAGAAGUGACGAAUACUGACGUCCAAGGCAAUAGAUGGGGAGGAUCUUCUCUGGGUCUUCACGUCUUUCCCUCUGAUGGGAUCAAAUGGCUGUUGGUUGGUUUGUGGAGGAUUCACGAUUUUAGCCCGUGUCAGAGCAGUCCUUGUGUACGCGGAGGAACAUGCAAUGUAGAAAGCGAAGGAUACAGCUGUGACUGUUUGCCAUUUUAUUCUGGUCGCCACUGUGAGGGUAAGUUUAAAACCAGACAUUUUAGCUUGAACCGAGUCAAAGUUGCACCAGGGAGGGCAAGGGGGAAAAGGGAAAGGAAAGGGGCGGCGGGCGGGGGAGGAGAGCUUUUCGGCGUUUAACCAAACCCAAAAAUUAAGAACAUAUAAGAACACACCCUAAGCCUAGAGUCAAAAGAGGUAGCUUAUUUUGUGAUA